GCGCUCAUUGGCUGCGCUCGGGGCGCGCGCGCAGCGCGCACGGCGGCCCCGCUCCGACGGCGAGAGCCCCGCGAGCCCCAACAUGUCUCGAGAGACUGGAAGUGAAACACAGCAGUCUCAGAGUGCCCAGCAGCCACAGAGUGGUACCAGUUCUUCUUCCAGUGGGUCACAGAGCACUAGUCAGUCUUCCUCAAGUUCUGGGACUCUGAGUUCCUUGGACACUGUUCCCACUCAGGAGCUUCCCUCCAUCCCUGAGGACCAGGAAUCUGAGGAGCUGGCUCCUCAGCCUUGGGGUCGACUCUUUGCACUUGGAAAAGGUUUCAGCAACUGUGACUGUGUGAAUGAGGAAUACUGGUUUGGGAGAGACAAAAGCUGUGAUUACAGUUUUUCUAAGCUGGGAUUGUCUGAGACUGGCUUCUACCAAAACUAUAGCAAGAAGCACUUCCGAAUUUUCAGGGAAAUGGGUCCAAAAAAUUCCUUUGUUGCCUACAUUGAAGACCACAGUGCCAAUGGGACAUUUGUUAAUAGAGAGCUCGUUGGAAAAGGGAGGAGGCUUCCACUGACACACAACUCUGAAAUUGCACUGUCUAUACAGACCAAUAAGGUGUUUGUAUUUUCUGAUCUUACCGUAGAUGAUCAGAUGAUGUUUCCUAAAGAAUUCAGAGAGAAAUACAUCAUGUCAAAGACUUUGGGAAGUGGUGCCUGUGGAGAAGUCAAACUGGCAUUUGAGAAGAGCACCUGUAACAAAGUUGCAGUGAAAAUCAUCAAUAAACGGAAGUUUGUGGCAAGUAGCCUGGGAGAGGCAAACCCAGCUUUAAACAUCAAUACAGAAAUAGAAAUUUUGAAGAAAAUAGAUCAUCCUUGCUUAAUCAAGAUUAAAAAUUUCUUUGAAGCAGAGGAUUACUACAUAGUUUUGGAACUGAUGGAAGGAGGAGAAUUGUAUGACAGAGUGUCAAGGCCAAUCAAGAUGAAAGAAGAUAUCUGCAAGUUGUACUUUUAUCAGAUGCUGCUGGCAGUAAAGUAUCUUCAUGACAAUGGAAUUAUACACCGAGAUCUAAAGCCAGAAAAUGUGCUACUUUCAUCUUCUGAAGAGACAUGUCUUAUAAAGAUUACAGAUUUUGGACAAUCCAAGAUUCUUGGAGAAGCUUCUCUUAUGAAAACAUUAUGUGGUACUCCCAUGUAUCUUGCUCCUGAGGUUCUAAAUUCACUUGGGACUGCUGGAUACAGCCGAGCUGUGGACUGCUGGAGUUUAGGAGUUAUUCUUUUUGUAUGCUUGUGUGGAUAUCCACCAUUCAAUGAGCAAAAUACUCAACUCUCUCUGAAAGAUCAAAUCACUCAUGGAAAAUACACAUUCAUCCCAAAAGAAUGGAAGCAUGUGUCAGACAUGGGUAUGACUCCAGCACAGUGGCGGGUCUACAGACUUUGCCUAAAGAUUCUUCAAGUGUUGAACCAAAACCACCAGGAGUUAGAAUUCCAAAAACAAACAUUCCAAGAGAGUCCUUCCAUGGUGCUAGUCUUGGGAAAGUGUCAGUCACAUUUGAGCUCUGGAUCUUGUGAAGAAGCUGUUAGUAGUGGAUCCAAGCAAACGUCUUACCACAGAGGAAGCCUUAGAGCAUCCUUGGCUUCAGAGAGACUGCAAAAGCAGCAUGGAGUAGUCUCCUGAAUACCUUCUUUCAGUACAAUAAGCAGCUUCUGCAUCCUUUCUGAGACACCUCUUCCCAAAACCCUUUCACAUGUGAGGAUCAAGAUGUGUUUUUUAGAGCCCAAGCCUGACUGUGGUUCUGGAUGAGGAUAUGAAAACUACAUUUCAACAGCUACUUGCUCAGACAUGUACCAAUAUGAAUCCACCAGAAACAUCAAAUAUG
Parus major (Great Tit) is the source of this 1865-nucleotide RNA transcript. It is a transcript of the gene named checkpoint kinase 2, with no coding region annotated. The transcript has 16 exons. The record is from RefSeq and is a predicted model, not a curated record. NCBI's taxonomy places the organism in Eukaryota, Metazoa, Chordata, Aves, Passeriformes, Paridae.